RNAcentral lists this ribosomal RNA (444 nucleotides) under uncultured bacterium. RNAcentral's name for it is "SSU rRNA". It matches the Rfam family "Bacterial small subunit ribosomal RNA", at positions 26 to 518 of the family's 1533-position model. The record is from RNAcentral.
AGAACGAACGCUGGCGGCAGGCCUCAAACAUGCAAGUCUAGGGGUGUAGCAAUACACACCGGCGGACGGGUGCGUAACGCGUGGGAACAUACCUUUCGGUACGGAACAACCCAGGGAAACUUGGGCUAAUACCGUAUACGUCCUAACGGAGAAAGAUUUAUCGCCGAAGGAUUGGCCCGCGUUCGAUUAGCUAGUUGGUGGGUAACGGCCACCAAGGCGACGAUCGAUAGCUGUUCUGAGAGGAAGAUCAGCCACACUGGGACUGAGACACGGCCCAGACUCCUACGGGAGGCAGCAGUUGGGAAUCUUGGACAAUGGGGGAAACCCUGAUCCAGCCAUGCCGCGUGAGUGAUGAAGGCCUUCGGGUUGUAAAACUCUUUCGACGGGGACGAUAAUGACGGUACCCGUAGAAGAAGCUCCGGCUAACUUCGCGCCAGCAGCCGC